UACGUAGGGUGCGAGCGUUGUCCGGAAUUAUUGGGCGUAAAGAGCUCGUAGGCGGUGUGUCACGUCGGCCGUGAAAACCUGCAGCUUAACUGUGGGCGUGCGGUCGAUACGGGCAGGCUAGAAUUCGGUAGGGGAGACUGGAAUUCCUGGUGUAGCGGUGAAAUGCGCAGAUAUCAGGAGGAACACCGGUGGCGAAGGCGGGUCUCUGGGCCGAUAUUGACGCUGAGGAGCGAAAGCGUGGGGAGCAAACAGG
This 253-nucleotide ribosomal RNA is filed under the name uncultured bacterium. RNAcentral describes it as "partial 16S ribosomal RNA". It matches the Rfam family "Bacterial small subunit ribosomal RNA", at positions 524 to 776 of the family's 1533-position model. The record is from RNAcentral.